RNA transcript from Diachasmimorpha longicaudata, 1798 nucleotides. It is a transcript of the gene named AH receptor-interacting protein, with no coding region annotated. NCBI's taxonomy places the organism in Eukaryota, Metazoa, Arthropoda, Insecta, Hymenoptera, Braconidae. The transcript is spliced from 9 exons. The record is from RefSeq and is a predicted model, not a curated record.
UGAAUGCAGUCACACGCUGUGCACCAUGUAGAAGCUCCAACACCGACUGAAGCGACCUCAAUAAACAUGUGAUUAUGUCAGUUGAGGUUAGAUUAUUUUUCCAGUCGUACUUGAAGAGGAUAGACUAUCCAAAACAUUCGGUUCUCCAAAGAUUAACUCACUGAAGAAUGGAAGGGAAAGAGAAGCAGUUGAUCGUUAAAAAUGUUCUUCAUUCUGGAACCCAAGAAGUGGAUUUUGUCCCUGGAUCUAAGGUGUUCUUUCAUUUCCGAACUAUGAAACUUGAUGGUACUAUCAUUGAUGAUAGUAAAAAGAUGGGAAGACCCAUGGAGUUAGUUCUUGGAAAAAAAUUUAAGCUGGAGGUGUGGGAGGCCAUCGUCCAGAAAAUGACAUUGAACGAAGUCAGUAAAUUCAGGGUCGACAAAAGUCUAGUGUCAUCGUACCCAUUCGUCUCCAAAACAUUGAGGGAAGUAGGAAAGCCAAAGAGUGAAAAGACAAACACACAUUGCUGUGGAGUAACUCUGCAAAAUGAGGGAAUUGGAUAUCCUGAUCUCAACGAAUUGAUAAAAAAUUCCGAGGAUCUGGAAUUUAUACUAGAACUGAUCAAAGUCGUUUCACCGACUGAUUACGAGAAAGAAUCAUGGCAAAUGACUGAGGAUGAAAAAUUAAAGAAAGUGCCUUUACUUAAAGAAAAGGGAAAUGAAAAAUUUAGAGCCCAAAAUUAUGAAGAAGCUGCCAAUGACUAUGCCACCGCCAUUGGAAUGCUGGAGCAGUUAAUGUUGAGUGAAAAACCACAUGAUGAGGACUGGCAAACUCUCAACAGAAUGAAGAUUCCUCUUCUUCUGAACUUCGCGCAAUGUAAAUUAUACAAAAAGGAGUAUUAUGCUGUUAUUGAACACUGCACUACAGUUUUAGGAAUUGAACCAGAUAAUGUGAAAGCUCUAUAUAGGAGGGGAAAAGCCCACAUAGGGGCCUGGAAUGAGAGAGAAGCUCUCGAGGACUUACAAAGAGUUGUAGAACUCGAUCCAACUCUCAAAUCCACGGUUGAGAAGGAAAUUCAGUCGUUCUUAAGCGCAGUUAAGGAUAAGGAACUCAAACAAAAAAAAACUUUAUCUCAAAUGUUUUCAUAAUUUAUUCUGAUUGAAUGGUUUUAUUAUGAAAUUAUAUCAUAUGAAUGUCAAAGUCGAUACGCAGCCCUUAUCGUGGUUGAUAAUCAUUACGGAACUCGUCCGUACGGUGCUGACUCGAGUGGCGAGAACAGUAAACUGUUGACUCCCGGGUUGUUUCCACGAUAUUUAAAGAUUUAAAUUUCGACUUGAGCCGGAACAUGUUGUUCACUAUUUAAACCGCACUGACCAUUACUACUCGAACCCAGAAAUGAGAAGGAAAUAUUUGAACAGAUCCCCCUUGUGGUCCGAUCGGGAUAAGAUACCUUAUUAGGGCGGUCGCUCUUUCCCUUAAGCUACAAUUCACGUAAUUUACUUAAACGAGCUCACUUGUGUGUCAACCCACUGCUCCUGAUUUUUACUCAUAAUACUCUUCUUCGUCAUGAGCGAGUUCUGAAGGUACGAGCCAUUCAAGCGAGUUAACUUUUGCAAUGGCUUCGUAAUAAAGUUACCCAGUUCGUAAGACGGCGCUUCAUUGUUGCGGAUAACAAGACGCAGAAUGCAAAUAAGAAACCUGUAAUCAAUCAUCAGAAAUCUGGAGAGGAGUGUGCGGUUUUUCGUCAAUUUUUCACGGAGUUGAUGAAUGAAUCUAAGAGAGAAAAAUAAUGGACCCGACGUAGACCAUCUCCUUACAG